AUUGAACGCUGGCGGCAGGCCUAACACAUGCAAGUCGAGCGGAGCGGCGGACGGGUGAGUAAUGCCUAGGAAUCUGCCUGGUAGUGGGGGAUACAGUCCGGAAACGGGCGCUAAUACCGAAUACUAUCGGAGGAGCCUGGGUCGGAUGAGCUGGUUGGUGGGGUAAAGGCCUACAAAGGGGACGAUCCGUAACUGGUCUGAGAGGAUGAUCAGGCACACUGGAACUGAGACACGGUCCAGACUCCUACGGUAGGCAGCAGUGGGGAAUAUUGGACAAGGGGCGAAAGCCUGAUCCAGCCAUGCCGCGUGUGUGAAGAAGGUCUUCGGAUUGUAAAGCACUUUAAGUUGGGAGGCGUUACCAACAGAAUAAGCACCGGCUAACUUCGUGCCAGCCGCCGCGGUAAUUC
RNAcentral lists this ribosomal RNA (407 nucleotides) under uncultured bacterium. RNAcentral's name for it is "partial 16S ribosomal RNA". It matches the Rfam family "Bacterial small subunit ribosomal RNA", at positions 30 to 526 of the family's 1533-position model. The record is from RNAcentral.